UACGGAGGGUGCGAGCGUUGUCCGGAAUCAUUGGGCGUAAAGGGCGCGUAGGUGGCCCGGUCAGUUCGUGGUGAAAGCGCGGGGCUCAACCCUGCGUCGGCCAUGAAUACUGCCGCGGCUGGAGCACUGUAGAGGCAGGCGGAAUUCCGGGUGUAGCGGUGGAAUGCGUAGAGAUCCGGAAGAACACCGGUGGCGAAGGCGGCCCGCUGGGCAGAGACUGACGCUGAGGCGCGACAGCGUGGGGAGCAAACAGG
This 254-nucleotide ribosomal RNA is filed under the name uncultured bacterium. RNAcentral describes it as "partial 16S ribosomal RNA". It matches the Rfam family "Bacterial small subunit ribosomal RNA", at positions 524 to 776 of the family's 1533-position model. The record is from RNAcentral.